GCACUCUUUUCAGUAGCACAUAUAGUAAAAUUAGAGAUUUACAGAGAAGAUUAGCAUGGCCCCUGCGUAAGACUAACGUGCAAAUUUGAACAACGCAUUUCAUAGUUUU
Hippopotamus amphibius kiboko is the source of this 109-nucleotide small nuclear RNA. NCBI's taxonomy places the organism in Eukaryota, Metazoa, Chordata, Mammalia, Artiodactyla, Hippopotamidae. The record is from RefSeq and is a predicted model, not a curated record.